RNAcentral lists this ribosomal RNA (393 nucleotides) under uncultured bacterium. RNAcentral's name for it is "partial 16S ribosomal RNA". It matches the Rfam family "Bacterial small subunit ribosomal RNA", at positions 523 to 918 of the family's 1533-position model. The record is from RNAcentral.
AUACGGAGGAUCCUAGUGUUAUCCGGAUUUAUUGGGUUUAAAGGGAGCGUAGGCGGGAGGUCAAGUCAGCUGUGAAAUGUAUCUGCUUAACGGGUACACUGCAGUUGAAACUGGUUUUCUUGAGUGCGUAAGAGGCAGGCGGAAUUCGUUGUGUAGCGGUGAAAUGCUUAGAUAUGACGAGGAACUCCUAUUGCGAAGGCAGCUUGCUGGGUCGUGACUGACGCUGAUGCUCGAAGGUGCGGGGAUCAAACAGGAUUAGAUACCCUGGUAGUCCGCACAGUAAACUAUGGAUACUCUCUGCCGGCGAUAUAUUGUCGGUGGCCAAGCGAAAGCGUUAAGUAUCCCACCUGGGGAGUACGUUCGCAAGAAUGAAACUCAAAUGAAUUGACGGGG